This 493-nucleotide ribosomal RNA is filed under the name uncultured Chrysophyceae. RNAcentral describes it as "SSU rRNA". It matches the Rfam family "Eukaryotic small subunit ribosomal RNA", at positions 451 to 947 of the family's 1831-position model. The record is from RNAcentral. Lineage: Eukaryota; Chrysophyceae.
CUGACACAGGGAGGUAGUGACAAUAAAUAACAAUGCCGAGCUCUUUAAGUUUGGCAAUUGGAAUGAGAACAAUUUAAAUCCCUUAUCGAGGAUCAAUUGGAGGGCAAGUCUGGUGCCAGCAGCCGCGGUAAUUCCAGCUCCAAUAGCGUAUACUAAAGUUGUUGCAGUUAAAAAGCUCGUAGUUGAAUUUCUGGUCUUGGACAGCGGUCUGCCUCAAACGAGGUACGCACCAUCUAUCCGAGUCCAUCCUCGGGGAAAACAUGUCUGUGAUUCAGUUCAUGGGCAUGGGAUCCUCGUCAUUUACUGUGAGCAAAAUAGAGUGUUCAAAGCAGGCUUAUGCCGUUGAAUAUUUUAGCAUGGAAUAAUAAGAUAAGACCUUGGUCUAUUUUGUUGGUUUGUACUCCAAGGUAAUGAUUAAUAGGGACAGUUGGGGGUAUUCGUAUUCAAUUGUCAGAGGUGAAAUUCUUGGAUUUAUUGAAGACGAACUACUGCG